UUUCUUUCGCAUGGUGUGUGCGGAAAUAUUGACGAUCUGUAGGAUAAAAAUAACGAAGAAACCGAGUGGGAGCUUCCAGACGGGAAAAUUGAGCGUCGAUGAUUUCGCAGGGGAUUGAUUCGACUAUCGGUACCGUCGAGGAUAGUAAACGGACCGUCGAGAAUAGUAGAGGUUAUGAGUCGAGUGGAGCAGGUUUUCCCCGUCCACACCCGAUGGAUGAGAAGAUUGAGUCGUCGUUCUGUGAUGGGAAGCAGCGGUAAAGAUGCGGUUCGGGGCGGAGAGUCCAGUUCGGGAUGCAGUUGUAUGCUGUUAUCGUUCCUACGGAUCGCGUUAUGGAUGUUCCUUGAGCGGUUGGCGUUUCAGAGGAUCGAUUCCGCCCGAUCCUGUAAAGGAGGCUGGACCCUUGGUCGGCGGAGUCCGAUGGUGCCCAAGUUCCCCCUGGCGAUGCGACCGCAGACGAUGAAAAAUCCCGCUGGUCGCCUUUGGGUGGAGUCGCAUCGGUCUACCGGGGGGGCCCUUCAUCGACUUAAGUUGGUUAGGGUAUUGGGCAUCGGCAGUCGGCGGGAUCGAAGAAAGUCUGCUGUUCGGUUCCAUCCUCGAACGGGGUGAAAGUGGGUAAGUUAGAUUCCAAUGAAAUCGGUUGGGAGAACCGACAUUUCAUCUUGUUUCUUCCGUUUUAGGUGCUGCCGAAUCCAGAGAGACGUUCCCGGCAGAGUCAAGCCGAAGAGUAAAACUGCCGUUGGGCAUAGGCUCGGGCAUAGGUACCACCGCUUUCUUUGAAGGCACCGUCUAUGCGGCCGACUUUGGACUCGAUGGAUUUGCGUAUGAGGAAAGGAGCGUUUGGUAAAGGACGAUCAUCAGUACCGGAUAGACGAAGGAGGUGGAGUUCUCCAUGUAAGGCUUGCGGGUCCAUGUAACUCGGAAGUGUAGCUCCAGUGUGGCUGUUGUCUAUUGUGUUCGUUCCUCCGGGUGGCGGAUCAUUCCACCAGGGUGGUCCAUUUCCUGAAAUGGCUGCCAUUUUGGCAGCAGCCCAGCUGAGAGAGACGACGUGUAGCCGAAUUCAAAAGAGGCCAAAGGUCACCGAACAAAACAAGGAAAAAAACCGUGCUAGUAGCGCGGAGCGACAGUCGCUCAAAUACCCAAGAGUGUGUACCGAAAAAAAACCUUUGCUUUUUGAUUCAAGGUGUGUUAGUUAGAAGGCGAAACUCUUUUUCCCUUCACUUUGCGGAUGUUUCACUCGCACCGUUGCUCUCACUUCGCUGAUAAACUUCCCCCACGAUUGUUUCUUGCAAGCCGGUAUCACGAAACGCCGAUUCGGAAAAACGGAUUCUCUCUACUGUUCGCUUUGAUUCACUCUUCUCUCGCGGUAAAUUGUUCUUCACAUUAAAAUUCUUCGGUUGACGACGGUACAGAGCACUCGCUCCACCGGGGGAGGUGAGUAUGAGUGGGUAUGUAUAAUUGAGAAUGGGACACAAUACUUUAUCUCUCUUGCAUAUAGGACCCGGGGUCAGCCCGGGUCAGAAGCGGUCGUUGAACUGACGCGCGCUUGGCGUCCUUAUGCACUAGUUCAAACGGAAGACAACUUUUCUUGGUUCAGAUUCUACGCCGAAAAAAUGGAUCACUUGUGGAAGCACUUUAGUACACUGCAAAAAUUCCACACAUUUUUAUUGGCAAAAAUCCAUUAAUUUAAUUCAUGAUUCUAAUUAGUGCACACAUAACCACUCUCCACGCGAAGUACAAAUAUAAUCUAUAAUCAAAUAAAAUGUAUGUGUGGUCUCUAAUAUGCAGUUAUUGAAUUUAUGUGUGGGUACAAAUUGCAUAUAUUUGGGUCGCCAAAUUGCAAAAAUUUAUGUGUGCGACAAAUAUAUUCAAUAUAAAUAAUUUUCUC
Armigeres subalbatus is the source of this 1888-nucleotide long non-coding RNA. RefSeq lists it as uncharacterized. Lineage: Eukaryota; Metazoa; Arthropoda; Insecta; Diptera; Culicidae. The record is from RefSeq and is a predicted model, not a curated record. The transcript has 4 exons.